This 403-nucleotide ribosomal RNA is filed under the name Verrucomicrobiota bacterium. RNAcentral's name for it is "Verrucomicrobia bacterium partial 16S ribosomal RNA". It matches the Rfam family "Bacterial small subunit ribosomal RNA", at positions 355 to 776 of the family's 1533-position model. Lineage: Bacteria; Pseudomonadati; Verrucomicrobiota. The record is from RNAcentral.
UGGGGAAUAUUGCACAAUGGGGGAAACCCUGAUGCAGCGACGCCGCGUGAGCGAAGAAGGUUUUCGAAUCGUAAAGCUCUGUCCUAUGAGAAGAUAAUGACGGUAUCAUAGGAGGAAGCCCCGGCUAAAUACGUGCCAGCAGCCGCGGUAAUACGUAUGGGGCGAGCGUUGUCCGGAAUUAUUGGGCGUAAAGGGUACGUAGGCGGUCUAUUAAGUCAGGUGUGAAAGCGUGAGGCUUAACCUCAUUAAGCACUUGAAACUGAUAGACUUGAGUGAAGGAGAGGAAAGUGGAAUUCCUAGUGUAGCGGUGAAAUUCGUAGAUAUUAGGAGGAAUACCGGUGGCGAAGGCGACUUUCUGGACUUUUACUGACGCUCAGGUACGAAAGCGUGGGGAGCAAACAGG